This 72-nucleotide transfer RNA is filed under the name Ovis aries (sheep). It matches the Rfam family "tRNA". Rfam says of the family: Transfer RNA (tRNA) molecules are approximately 80 nucleotides in length. Their secondary structure includes four short double-helical elements and three loops (D, anti-codon, and T loops). The record is from Rfam by way of RNAcentral. Lineage: Eukaryota; Metazoa; Chordata; Mammalia; Artiodactyla; Bovidae.
UCCCUGGUGGCUCAGAUGGUAAAGAAUCUGCCUGCAAUGCAGGAGACCCGGGUUUGAUCCCUGGGUCGGGAA